This is a long non-coding RNA of Rhineura floridana, 2097 nucleotides long. RefSeq lists it as uncharacterized. NCBI's taxonomy places the organism in Eukaryota, Metazoa, Chordata, Lepidosauria, Squamata, Rhineuridae. The record is from RefSeq and is a predicted model, not a curated record. The transcript has 3 exons.
CACAUUGGCAGAACCCACUGGCACCAACAACUGCUCUUGACAGCAGGCAACAAGAAGCUGCCUUUUUCAUUUUCCACAGUGCCAGGGAGUGAGUCUACAUUGCUCUGGGACACUGUGAGAAAUGUAAGAUGAUGGCUCAUAAACGACUGCUUGUGGUUGGGACUGGGUGGGGAACUAAAACAGAAAGGGUCUCAUCCAGAGCAGUUUCCUAAAGGACCCUCAAAGCUGGACCUAAUCCUGGCAAUUCUAGACCGCUGCCAUUUUCAGAAUGUGCUAUGAACUCUCUGCUUGGGCCAUGGAGUCCAGGAAUUACCCCUCUGAAGGAGCCUGAUAAGUGGAUAUAACUGCACUGCUAAUAUGUGUCCUUGCCAUGAUGUUAUAUGUGUUCAAGAUCCCCCCAAUAUUCUUUGUAUUGCUGGGAAACCAGACAUGGCCUCCUAUGAUGUGUGAGGGAGAUCAGUGCCUUCCAGAACCGAUGAUUCAGCAGAAGGUCGACAAGUCAGCAAUGUCUGAGAGAUUUUUUUAAUCUACUUCAGAAAGAGAGAGAGAGAAUAUUAAAAAUGGAAAGAUGAGAAAGGGGGGUGCAAUUGCCAGAUCUCAAGAAAGAGGUUGCUGCUGUAGGACUGUAAGAUGGCCAACAAGCUGUGCUGUAGGAAGGACAGCCUUCGUAACUCACAUGAUUUCCUCCAUUUUCCCCUGCCAAAGAAGGUCAAGCUGAACUCUCUGAACCUGCAUGGGUUCACUGUGUAAUGGCCAGAUUUUGCUAGCAGAGCUAAAUUGGAAUGAUAGCUCUGUUUUCCCGUGGAAGAAUAUUUCCUGUGUGUCUGCGUCAGAAUAAUCAGUAAAUAAGUACAGGAGAAAAAGUAGGUUGAUGGCAUAGCCAACAGCACAUGAAAGCAGUAGUUUCAACCUAACCCAACCUGACUGAGGAAAUUGUAAUAAGCUGGCAAGAAACCUGAGGAAGAGGUGGUGGUGGGGAAACACAGCUUUAAGGUGAAGCUGCCUAAACAGGCAGCAGACCUGAGUGGGGGGCUGUAUUUCAGACCAAUGGUAUAUCUUGCAUUGCAGCCUUUGCUGGGGGGAAUUCUGCACACUCCAUAGAACUCCCCAUACAUGCUGUUGUUUGUUCUGUCCUGGAGAUAAGCUUGGAGAACCCAUUGGCAGCCCAAGGCAAUCAUUUCAGCAACAAUGAGCAGGGCAGAACUUCUAACUAGGGGGGAGGUCUGCAUACAAGGCAGAAAGUGCCCCCAAUAAAGUGUCUGGCCACUGUGAGAACAGGAUGCUGGACUAGAUGGGCUACUGGCCUGAUCCAGCAGACUCUUCUUAUGUUCUUAAAAGGCUGAAAUAUAAAGGAUAGCUAUUUUGAAGAAAAAAACCCUCUUGGAUUGUGUUUUCUUUCACCGAUAGCUGAAAAUGUUGGCAGACACUUGUUUUCCAAACAGAUGUAACAUAUAAGAUGAUGCUGUACUGUGGCAUGACUACUGGAAAUAAUCAGCCAAGGGUCUCUUCCAGUGAUAUAGACCUAAACUUGCUUGAGACUGCUUGAGAGCCAGUAUGGCGAAGUGUUGAACUAUGACCUGGGAGACCAGGAUUCAAAUCCCCACUCAGCCAUGAAGCUCACUGGGUGAUCUUGGGCCAGGCGCUGCCUCUCUGCCUAACCUACCUCACAGGGUUGUUGUGAGGAUAAAAUGAAGAAGGGGGAAAACAUGUAUGCACCUUAAGCUCCUUGGAGUAAAGUGGGGAUAUAACUGCAAUAAUAAAUAAAACAAAACAUCUUAAGACCCAUAGCUGAAGCUUUCCCCAAAACCUUGGAGAAGGAGAUUCACUCUAUCCUACAGCCCCUGUGUUGCCCUCCCAGAGGCCAUAUGAUUUUUGCUUUGAAGAUGCAGAUGAAAACAAAAUUCUUUGAGUUGCCUUUUUCCUUUGACAUUGCAGGAUUCUGUGGGGGGAACCCUCUUGAGAGUUAUCUUGAGUCUUGCUAGAAGAUACUAAAUUUAUUUCAAGUAAGAAGUAAAAGGCUGUUUUCAAACUGAAAGAAAAAAUGUGUGUGGAUUUAUUUCCCCCUGGUGGAGCAAACUUAAAACUGCAAAUUCUUUU